GCGCAUUCCUCUCAUAAAUGCUUCUUCUUUCACUAUCGUCCGUCCUCUUCAAUUUUGAUCUAAACAUGUCUACCUAAGUGUACACCAUAUUUCGGUUCCAAGUUGUUGAUCCUUGAUAGAGAUAGAGAUAGAGAUCUGGUUAAAAAAAACAAAACAAAAAGAUGGAGAUGGAGCAAUGGACCAGCCACCACACAGAUUUUCACUUAUGUCGAGCUUGAUAAUUUAGUAUUGCCAUCUAUGCCCGUUUCCUUUUUGUUUUUGUCUUUUCUGCAUAUAUAUUUUUUUCAGGUUCGACUUAAGGGCUUCUUAUUUAUUUAUAUUUAUAGGUAU
This 330-nucleotide unclassified non-coding RNA is filed under the name Hevea brasiliensis (rubber tree). Lineage: Eukaryota; Viridiplantae; Streptophyta; Magnoliopsida; Malpighiales; Euphorbiaceae. The record is from RNAcentral.